Molecule: ribosomal RNA, 1439 nt
Filed under: metagenome
Description: bacterial LSU rRNA
Rfam family: Bacterial large subunit ribosomal RNA
Source: RNAcentral
UGCGAAGGGGACGGAGAAGGCUAUGUUGGCCGGGCGACGGUUGUCCCGGUUUAAGCGUGUAGGCUGGUUUUCCAGGCAAAUCCGGAAAAUCAAGGCUGAGGCGUGAUGACGAGGCACUACGGUGCUGAAGCAACAAAUGCCCUGCUUCCAGGAAAAGCCUCUAAGCAUCAGGUAACAUCAAAUCGUACUAAACCGACACAGGUGGUCAGGUAGAGAAUACCAAGGCGCUUGAGAGAACUCGGGUGAAGGAACUAGGCAAAAUGGUGCCGUAACUUCGGGAGAAGGCACGCUGAUAUGUAGGUGAAGCGACUUGCUCGUGGAGCUGAAAUCAGUCGAAGAUACCAGCUGGCUGCAACUGUUUAUUAAAAACACAGCACUGUGCAAACACGAAAGUGGACGUAUACGGUGUGCCGCCCGGUGCCGGAAGGUUAAUUGAUGGGGUUAGCGCGAAGCUCUUGAUCGAAGCCCCGGUAAACGGCGGCCGUAACAACGGUCCUGGGUAGCGAAAUUCCUUGUCGGGUAAGUUCCGACCUGCACGAAUGGCGUAAUGAUGGCCAGGCUGUCACCGAGACUCAGUGAAAUUGAACUCGCUGUGAAGAUGCAGUGUACCCGCGGCAAGACGGAAAAGACCCCGUGAACCUUUACUAUGCUUGACACUGAACAUUGAGCCUUGAUGUGUAGGAUAGGUGGGAGGCUUAGAAGUGUGGACGCCAGUCUGCAUGGAGCCGACCUGAAAUACCACCUUUAAUGUUUGAUGUUCUAACGUUGACCCGUAAUCCGGGUUGCGGACAGUGUCUGGUGGGUAGUUUGACUGGGGCGGUCUCCUCCUAAAGAGUAACGGAGGAGCACGAAGGUUGGCUAAUCCUGGUCGGACAUCAGGAGGUUAGUGCAAUGGCAUAAAGCCAGCUUGACUGCGAGCGUGACGGCGCGAGCAGGUGCGAGCAGGUCAUAGUGAUCCGGUGGUUCUGAAUGGAAGGGCCAUCGCUCAACGGAUAAAGGUACUCCGGGGAUAACAGGCUGAUACCGCCCAAGAGUUCAUAUCGACGGCGGUGUUUGGCACCUCGAUGUCGGCUCAUCACAUCCUGGGGCUGAAGUAGGUCCCAAGGGUAUGGCUGUUCGCCAUUUAAAGUGGUACGCGAGCUGGGUUUAGAACGUCGAGACAGUUCGGUCCCUAUCUGCCGUGGGCUGGAGAACUGAGGGCUGCUCCUAGUACGAGAGGACCGGAGUGGACGCAUCACUGGUGUUCGGGUUGUCAUGCCAAUGGCACUGCCCGGUAGCUAAAUGCGGAAGAGAUAAGUGCUGAAAGCAUCUAAGCACGAAACUUGCCCCGAGAUGAGUUCUCCCUGACCCUUUAAGGGUCCUGGAGGAACGUUGAAGACGACGACGUUGAUAGGCCGGGUGUGUAAGCGCAGCGAUGCGUUGAGGCCAACCGGUACAAU